UUUGUCUUGGAAGAGCAUUAUUAAAAAGAAGAAAAAUAUUAGUUCUUGAUGAAGCAACAGCAUCAAUUGACAAUACAACAGAUUCAAUAAUUCAAAAAACAAUUAGGACAGAAUUUGAGGAUUGCACAGUCAUAACUGUAGCUCACAGAAUCCCAACAGUAAUGGAUUGCACUAUGGUUCUUGCUAUAAGUGAUGGGAAGCUGGUAGAGUAUGAUAAGCCAAUGAAACUUAUGAAUAAAGAAAGUUCAUUAUUUGGACAGCUUGUUG
This 267-nucleotide unclassified non-coding RNA is filed under the name Hevea brasiliensis (rubber tree). The record is from RNAcentral. Lineage: Eukaryota; Viridiplantae; Streptophyta; Magnoliopsida; Malpighiales; Euphorbiaceae.